GCCCAGAUAGCUCAGUCGGUAGAGCAUCCCUGUUUGGGUUUCAGUCGGGUUUCAAGUCCCUGUUUGGGCG
Molecule: non-coding RNA, 70 nt
Organism: Danionella cerebrum
Lineage: Eukaryota; Metazoa; Chordata; Actinopteri; Cypriniformes; Danionidae
Source: the annotation of a GenBank genome assembly